Molecule: transfer RNA, 75 nt
Filed under: Candidatus Yanofskybacteria bacterium RIFCSPHIGHO2_01_FULL_44_110b
Lineage: Bacteria; Candidatus Yanofskyibacteriota
Description: tRNA-Val
Rfam family: tRNA
About the family: Transfer RNA (tRNA) molecules are approximately 80 nucleotides in length. Their secondary structure includes four short double-helical elements and three loops (D, anti-codon, and T loops).
Source: RNAcentral
GCGCGGUUAGCUCAGUGGUAGAGCGUCUCGUUUACACCGAGAAGGCCGGGGGCUCAAUCCCCUCACCGCGCACAA